Molecule: ribosomal RNA, 525 nt
Filed under: uncultured Rhodospirillales bacterium
Lineage: Bacteria; Pseudomonadati; Pseudomonadota; Alphaproteobacteria; Rhodospirillales
Description: bacterial SSU rRNA
Rfam family: Bacterial small subunit ribosomal RNA
Source: RNAcentral
UGGGGAGUAUUGGACAAUGGGGGCAACCCUGAUCCAGCAAUGCCGCGUGAGUGAUGAAGGCCUUAGGGUUGUAAAGCUCUUUCGGCGGGGACGAUGAUGACGGUACCCGCAGAAGAAGCCCCGGCUAACUUCGUGCCAGCAGCCGCAGUAAUACGAAGGGGGCAAGCGUUGUUCGGAUUUACUGGGCGUAAAGGGCGCGCAGGCGGCCCGUCAAGUCAGAUGUGAAAGCCCCGGGCUCAACCUGGGAACUGCAUUUGAGACUGGCGGGCUCGAGUUCGGGAGAGGAUGGCGGAAUUCCCAGUGUAGAGGUGAAAUUCGUAGAUAUUGGGAAGAACACCGGUGGCGAAGGCGGCCAUCUGGACCGAGACUGACGCUGAGGCGCGAAAGCGUGGGGAGCAAACAGGAUUAGAUACCCUGGUAGUCCACGCCGUAAACGAUGUGCGCUAGACGUCGGGGAGCCUAGCUCUCCGGUGUCGCAGCUAACGCUUUAAGCGCACCGCCUGGGGAGUACGGCCGCAAGGUUAA